Puntigrus tetrazona (Sumatra barb) is the source of this 1699-nucleotide non-coding RNA. The record is from the annotation of a RefSeq genome assembly. Lineage: Eukaryota; Metazoa; Chordata; Actinopteri; Cypriniformes; Cyprinidae.
GCCAAACAGCUAGCUUAACAAUUUUCUUAACUUUUAAUUAUAGAUAAAAUAAAAUAAACUUACUUUAUAAAUUAAAUCAUUCUAUUACCUUAGUAUGGGAGACAAAAAAGGUUCAACAUAAAGCAAUAGAUAUAGUACCGUAAGGGAAAGCUGAAAGAGAAAUGAAAUAACCCAUAUAAGCACUAAAAAGCAAAGACUAAACCUUGUGCCUUUUGCAUCAUGAUUUAGCCAGUAAUCCCAAGCAAAGAGACCUUUAGUUUGAAACCCCGAAACCAGGUGAGCUACCCCGAGACAGCCUAUUAGGGCCAACCCGUCUCUGUGGCAAAAGAGUGGGAAGAGCUCCGGGUAGAAGUGACAGACCUACCGAACCUGGUGAUAGCUGGUUGCCUAAAAAAUGAAUAGAAGUUCAGCCUCAUUAACCUUUAGCCAAAAAUCAAUAUAGUAAGACCAUAAAGCUACUUAUGAGAGUUAGUUAAAGGGGGUACAGCCCCUUUAACCAAGGACACAACCUUUUAAGGAGGAUAAAGAUCAUAAUAAUUAAAACAUAUGUUUUAGUGGGCCUAAAAGCAGCCACCUAAAUAGAAAGCGUCAAAGCUCAGACAAAAAAAAGUUUAUUAUUUUGAUAAUAUAAAUCUUAUUCCCCUAUUUCUAUUAGGCCAACCCAUGCCACCAUGGGAAAGAUUAUGCUAAAAUGAGUAACAAGAAGAACUACACCCUUCUCCCUAGCACAAGUGUAAACCAAACUGGAUUAACCAUUGGUAAUUAACGAACUCAAUCAAAGAGAGUAAUGUGAGCUAUCAGUAAAUUCAAGAAAAAUUCACAACUAAAUCAUCGUUAACCCCACACUGGAGUGCCACUUAAAGGAAAGACUUAAAGAUAAGGAAGGAACUCGGCAAACCCAAGCCUCGCCUGUUUACCAAAAACAUCGCCUCCUGCAACAAACCAAGUAUAAGAGGUCCAGCCUGCCCAGUGACCAAAAGUUUAACGGCCGCGGUAUCCUAACCGUGCAAAGGUAGCGCAAUCACUUGUCUUUUAAAUAAAGACCUGUAUGAAUGGCCAAACGAGGGCUUAACUGUCUCCCUUAUCAAGUCAGUAAAAUUGAUCUACCCGUGCAGAAGCGGGUAUAAACAUACAAGACGAGAAGACCCUUUGGAGCUUAAGGUAAAAAUUCACCCACGUCAAGCAGCUUAAUAUACAAAGCAACUCCUUUAUUAUAAACCUUGUGGAUUAUGAAAUAAUACCUUCGGUUGGGGCGACCAUGGAGAAAAAGAAAACCUCCAAGUGGAAUGAGACCACCCCUCAAAACUAAGAGAGACAUCUCUAAGCCACAGAACAUCUGACCAUAAAUGAUCCGGCUAACUAACAGCCGAUCAACGAACCAAGUUACCCCAGGGAUAACAGCGCAAUCCUCUCCAAGAGACCAUAUCGACGAGAGGGUUUACGACCUCGAUGUUGGAUCAGGACAUCCUAAUGGUGCAGCCGCUAUUAAGGGUUCGUUUGUUCAACGAUUAAAGUCCUACGUGAUCUGAGUUCAGACCGGAGCAAUCCAGGUCAGUUUCUAUCUGUAACUCUACUUUUCCUAGUACGAAAGGACCGGGAAAGAGGGGCCCAUACCACCGGCAAGCCCCACCCUCAACCCAUGAAAACAAAUAAAUAGUAUUAAAGGGAGAACAAAGUCCCGACCAAGAUAAGGACAUAU